ACAUCAGGAGGGACUAUUGCACUGGAAGAGAAGUUGGUCAAGGUGGACUCUGAGGUCCCUUUUGAUUCUGAGAUUCUGGCUGGUGCUGUUAAGAGGAAGGAGUCCUGCUUCUCCAUCAUGGCCUCCAGGGUCCUCUGAGUAGCUUUGGGGCUGCUGCAGGGGUUUAUGGUGGGGAAUAGUUGAGGAAGAGAGUGUUGGAAGACAGUGCUUGAGGUUAUGCAAAACAAGAGUGAAGACUUCUCCCUCUUUACAGAAGUGAGGAAGAUGGAUGAAGGCAUUUAGAGGGCUAGUUAUCUGCCACAGGGUACUUUUAGGAAAUAACUCAAAGCCUAGUUAUGGGGGAACAUUUCAGAAACAAGGAAAUAGUUCUAUUCUGCAGAGCACCGUGUGGUGCCCAUAGUCCUUGGGUGGAUUUCUCUGCACUGUCUGGGCUAGUGUUGUCUUUGUUAGCAGAUCUUGCUGCCUUGUACCGGGUCAUCUGUCCUCCCACAAGGGGGGACAGGGCAGGUGGAGAAUGAGAAGAACAGGGCAUUGUGGGAGAUGUCCAUGUCCCAGAAUCCUAUGGAAGGCCUCUUGUCAGUGGACCACCUGCCAAUGCCCACUUUACAGAGGAGGAAACAAGGGUCCAGAGAAGUCCAAUGACUUCCCCAGGGCUAUGCACAGAGCUCCAGGUCCCAGUCUCCUCACUGUCUGACGCUGUUUCUACCUUCACAUUUUCACCACGCAGCAAGCUGACAGAUGCCAGAGGACACAGCAUUCCAAACACCAUUCGGAUCUCUUGAAGAGAAUCUCCUUGGCCACACCCUGUUUUAAAAAUAAACCAAGACGUAGCUUCAGGGCCCCAGUCAGUUGGUCAUGAAGACGUCAUUUCCAUGAUUUCAUUUCUGAUUCACGGAUGGAACUUGCUUGUCAGUGUUGUGCAG
Ictidomys tridecemlineatus (thirteen-lined ground squirrel) is the source of this 923-nucleotide non-coding RNA. The record is from RefSeq and is a predicted model, not a curated record. Lineage: Eukaryota; Metazoa; Chordata; Mammalia; Rodentia; Sciuridae.